GUGAGGAAUCUUAGACAAUGGGCGCAAGCCUGAUCUAGCCAUGCCGCGUGAGCGAUGAAGGCCUUAGGGUUGUAAAGCUCUUUCGUGGGGGAAGAUAAUGACUGUACCCCAAGAAGAAGCCCCGGCUAACUCCGUGCCAGCAGCCGCGGUAAUACGGAGGGGGCUAGCGUUGUUCGGAAUUACUGGGCGUAAAGCGCACGUAGGCGGACUGGAAAGUCAGGGGUGAAAUCCCGGGGCUCAACCCCGGAACUGCCUUUGAAACUCCCAGUCUUGAGUUCGAGAGAGGUGAGUGGAAUUCCGAGUGUAGAGGUGAAAUUCGUAGAUAUUCGGAGGAACACCAGUGGCGAAGGCGGCUCACUGGCUCGAUACUGACGCUGAGGUGCGAAAGCGUGGGGAGCAAACAGGAUUAGAUACCCCGGUAGUCC
RNAcentral lists this ribosomal RNA (425 nucleotides) under uncultured bacterium. RNAcentral describes it as "partial 16S ribosomal RNA". It matches the Rfam family "Bacterial small subunit ribosomal RNA", at positions 354 to 796 of the family's 1533-position model. The record is from RNAcentral.